Molecule: unclassified non-coding RNA, 270 nt
Filed under: Hevea brasiliensis (rubber tree)
Lineage: Eukaryota; Viridiplantae; Streptophyta; Magnoliopsida; Malpighiales; Euphorbiaceae
Source: RNAcentral
CAAGCUCUACUUCUGUACCAUCAUGGACAGCCGAAUGGGCAGGCACCUCAGUCCCUUGGUGGAUUUUUCCAGUAUUCUGACCUGGAGACUUAUAACGCGAUAUAUCCCUCAGGCUUGAAAGAGAUGCCAAUAUUGAUGCCCCAGCAACAGCUGAAGGAUCACCUGACCUCCGUUCAAGUUGCAAAAGUUUUCCCAGACUACUCUGGACCUCUGCACCCUUAACAGCAACAUCAGUCAUGAAUUGCUGAAAAAUAUAGGCAUGGUUCCCCA